Equus caballus (horse) is the source of this 637-nucleotide non-coding RNA. The record is from the annotation of a RefSeq genome assembly. Lineage: Eukaryota; Metazoa; Chordata; Mammalia; Perissodactyla; Equidae.
AUGGCCUGAACCCCUCUCCUGCUCCCUCUCCUCACUCUCUGCACAGGUUCUGUGGCCUCUUCUGAGCUGAAACAACCACCUGCAGUGUCUAUGGCCUUGGGACAGACAGCCACCAUCACCUGCCAGGGAGACAGCUUAAGAAACAGUUAUGCUAGCUGGUACCAUCAGAAGCCAGGCCAGGCUCCUGUGCUUGUCAUCUAUGGUAGUAACAACCGGGCCUCAGGGAUCCCUGACAGAUUCUCCAGCUCCCAAUCAGGGAACACAGCCACCCUGACCAUCUGCGGAGCCCAGGCCGAGGACGAGGCUGACUAUUACUGUCACUCAGGAAAAGAUUAUUAUAGUUAUGAAGCUCACGAUGUCAAAGGCUAAUGGGGAAAUGAGACAAAAACCCUUUCCCUUUCUGUGUCACACUCUCCUUUAGCUGCAGGAGGACUGUAGACAAAACCAUGAGCAGGUCUGGCCCAGGUCACCAGCUCUGAGAUCCCCAGGCUGCCCUCUCCUCCCAGCCCUCCAGGCAGGCUCUGUGGAGGAUGGAUCAGGACUGGUAGGACCAGGUUGUUCUGCUGUUUUCUGGCCAAGGCUGUGAAUUGGGGACAGAGGUCCUAGGUGGAGAGACAGAGUGAGAAAAAUAUAUGGU